Molecule: ribosomal RNA, 483 nt
Filed under: uncultured bacterium
Lineage: Bacteria
Description: partial 16S ribosomal RNA
Rfam family: Bacterial small subunit ribosomal RNA
Source: RNAcentral
AUUGAACGCUGGCGGCAUGCUUUACACAUGCAAGUCGAACGGCAGCGCGGGCUUCGGCCUGGCGGCGAGUGGCGAACGGGUGAGUAAUGCAUCGGAACGUGCCCAGUAGUGGGGGAUAGCCCGGCGAAAGCCGGAUUAAUACCGCAUACGACCUGAGGGUGAAAGCGGGGGACCGAAAGGCCUCGCGCUAUUGGAGCGGCCGAUGUCGGAUUAGCUAGUUGGUGGGGUAAAGGCUUACCAAGGCGACGAUCCGUAGCUGGUCUGAGAGGACGACCAGCCACACUGGGGCUGAGACACGGCCCAGACUCCUACGGGAGGCAGCAGUGGGGAAUUUUGGACAAUGGGGGCAACCCUGAUCCAGCCAUGCCGCGUGCGGGAAGAAGGCCUUCGGGUUGUAAACCGCUUUUGUUCGGGAAGAAAUCCUCUGGGCUAAUACCCCGGGGGGAUGACGGUACCGGAAGAAUAAGCACCGGCUAACUACGU